Molecule: ribosomal RNA, 632 nt
Filed under: uncultured Ceratobasidiaceae
Lineage: Eukaryota; Fungi; Basidiomycota; Agaricomycetes; Cantharellales; Ceratobasidiaceae
Description: eukaryotic LSU rRNA
Rfam family: 5.8S ribosomal RNA (bases 219-372)
Source: RNAcentral
UCCGUAGGUGAACCUGCGGAAGGAUCAUUAUCGAAUGAAACUAGAGUCGGUUGUCGCUGGCCUCUUCACCGGGGCAUGUGCACGCCUUCUCUAUUCAUCCACACACACCUGUGAACUCGUAGACGGAUAGUAGUCCUUUCGGGGGCGAGGUCCGUCUGCUAUACAUAAACUCCAGUAUAUUAAUCUGAAUGUAAUUUGAUGUAACACAUCUUUAAACUAAGUUUCAACAACGGAUCUCUUGGCUCUCGCAUCGAUGAAGAACGCAGCGAAAUGCGAUAAGUAAUGUGAAUUGCAGAAUUCAGUGAAUCAUCGAAUCUUUGAACGCACCUUGCGCUCCUUGGUAUUCCUCGGAGCAUGCCUGUUUGAGUAUCAUGAAAUCCUCAAAAUAUAUCUUUUGUUCAUUCAAUUGAUUUCAUUUUGGACUUGGAGGUCUGCAGAUUCACGUCUGCUCCUCUUAAAUAUAUUAGCUGGAUCUCAGUGAGCUCGGUUCCACUCGGCGUGAUAAGUAUCACUCGCUGAGGACACUGUAAAAGGUGGCCGGGAUUGCAGAUGAACCGCUUCUAAUGGUCUAUUCACUUGGACAAUUCAUUUAUGAUCUGAUCUCAAAUCAGGUAGGACUACCCGCUGAACUU